This 324-nucleotide ribosomal RNA is filed under the name uncultured Bacillota bacterium. RNAcentral's name for it is "bacterial SSU rRNA". It matches the Rfam family "Bacterial small subunit ribosomal RNA", at positions 28 to 351 of the family's 1533-position model. The record is from RNAcentral. Lineage: Bacteria; Bacillati; Bacillota.
GACGAACGCUGGCGGCGUGCCUAACACAUGCAAGUCGAGCGGGGAGAGAUUUUCGGAUUUCUCUUUAGCGGCGGACGGGUGAGUAACACGUGGGUAACCUGCCUCAAAGUGGGGGAUAGCCUUCCGAAAGGAAGAUUAAUACCGCAUAAUAUCAUGGCGCUGCAUGGCGUUAUGAUUAAAGGAGCAAUCCGCUUUGAGAUGGACCCGCGGCGCAUUAGCUAGUUGGUGAGGUAACGGCCCACCAAGGCGACGAUGCGUAGCCGACCUGAGAGGGUGAUCGGCCACAUUGGAACUGAGACACGGUCCAGACUCCUACGGGUGCAG